GUGCCAGCAGCCGCGGUAAGACGGAGGGUGCAAGCGUUGUUCGGAAUUACUGGGCGUAAAGGGCGCGUAGGCGGUCUGCUAAGUUCGGUGUGAAAUCCCCUGGCUCAACUGGGGAACUGCGCCGGAAACUGGCAGACUAGAGUACCGGAGAGGAGGGUGGAAUUCCUGGUGUAGCGGUGAAAUGCGUAGAUAUCAGGAGGAACACCGGUGGCGAAGGCGGCCCUCUGGACGGAUACUGACGCUGAGGCGCGAAAGCGUGGGGAUCAAACAGGAUUAGAAACCCUGGUAGUCC
Molecule: ribosomal RNA, 292 nt
Filed under: uncultured bacterium
Lineage: Bacteria
Description: partial 16S ribosomal RNA
Rfam family: Bacterial small subunit ribosomal RNA
Source: RNAcentral